RNAcentral lists this ribosomal RNA (492 nucleotides) under uncultured bacterium. Its description in RNAcentral is "partial 16S ribosomal RNA". It matches the Rfam family "Bacterial small subunit ribosomal RNA", at positions 29 to 507 of the family's 1533-position model. The record is from RNAcentral.
AGUGAACGCUGGCGGUAGGCCUAACACAUGCCAGUCGAACGGCAGCACAGCAAGAGCUUGCUCUUACGGGUGGCGAGUGGCGGACGGGUGAGGAAUACAUCGGAAUCUACUUUUUCGUGGGGGAUAACGUAGGGAAACUUACGCUAAUACCGCAUACGACCUACGGGUGAAAGCAGGGGAUCUUCGGACCUUGCGCGAUUGAAUGAGCCGAUGUCGGAUUAGCUAGUUGGCGGGGUAAAGGCCCACCAAGGCGACGAUCCGUAGCUGGUCUGAGAGGAUGAUCAGCCACACUGGAACUGAGACACGGUCCAGACUCCUACGGGAGGCAGCAGUGGGGAAUAUUGGACAAUGGGCGCAAGCCUGAUCCAGCCAUACCGCGUGGGUGAAGAAGGCCUUCGGGUUGUAAAGCCCUUUUGUUGGGAAAGAAAAGCAGCAGGUUAAUACCCCGCUGUUCUGACGGUACCCAAAGAAUAAGCACCGGCUAACUUCGUG